RNAcentral lists this ribosomal RNA (440 nucleotides) under uncultured bacterium. RNAcentral's name for it is "partial 16S ribosomal RNA". It matches the Rfam family "Bacterial small subunit ribosomal RNA", at positions 338 to 795 of the family's 1533-position model. The record is from RNAcentral.
CCUACGGGGGGCAGCAGUGGGGAAUAUUGGACAAUGGGCGCAAGCCUGAUCCAGCCAUGCCGCGUGAGUGAUGAAGGCCUUAGGGUUGUAAAGCUCUUUUGUCCGGGACGAUAAUGACGGUACCGGAAGAAUAAGCCCCGGCUAACUUCGUGCCAGCAGCCGCGGUAAUACGAAGGGGGCUAGCGUUGCUCGGAAUCACUGGGCGUAAAGCGCGCGCAGGCGGUCUUUUAAGUCUGAUGUGAAAUCUUGCGGCUCAACCGCAAGCGGUCAUUGGAAACUGGGAGACUUGAGUGCAGAAGAGGAAAGCGGAAUUCCCAGUGUAGCGGUGAAAUGCGUAGAUAUUGGGAGGAACACCAGUUGCGAAGGCGGCUCUCUGGACUGUAACUGACGCUGAGGCACGAAAGCGUGGGGAGCGAACAGGAUUAGAUACCCCAGUAGUC